Molecule: long non-coding RNA, 510 nt
Organism: Falco peregrinus (peregrine falcon)
Lineage: Eukaryota; Metazoa; Chordata; Aves; Falconiformes; Falconidae
Exons: 4
Source: RefSeq, a predicted model, not a curated record
UGCACGUGAGAACUCGGGAUCUACCUUUCAUACGUCAUCAUCAGCUGAGAAAGAAGACGUGAAGGAUGCCAUUGAAUAUUAUGGGGUGUGGGUUGAGAAGAAAAAAGCAAAGAAAGAUGUUCAAGAGCACAGGCGGUGGCAAAACAGGAAUGUCUGGAUAAAUUAAAUACACCACCAGGCAACAUGACUAAUUGGCAAAUGAAGCAAAAGAUUACUCUAAGGAAGAACGCCUGUUUGAAAAUGGAGAAUGAAAACACUAUAGAAGAAAAAAACAAAAAGAGUUUUUCAUCUGGGGAGAGCUCAAAAUUGAUUAAAAUGCCAAUGAAAGGUUGCCCUGAAUGCCAAAGGUGCAAAGGAAAGUAAAAGACAGCCUUCAAAGCAGAAGGCUCAUCAGCAGAUGAGCUCUUCCAGUGGCAAUCAUGGUCAAGUACCGGACGAUAGCACUUCCAGUGAAACGUCUCAGGAUGAAGGAAGACCUGCAGCAACAACCGGGAGUGAAAAGAACAAGGU